Molecule: ribosomal RNA, 385 nt
Filed under: uncultured bacterium
Lineage: Bacteria
Description: bacterial SSU rRNA
Rfam family: Bacterial small subunit ribosomal RNA
Source: RNAcentral
UAGUGAGUUUGAUCCUGGCUCAGGACGAACGCUGGCGGUCUGCUUAACACAUGCAAGUCGAACGCAAGUAGAAAUACUUGAGUGGCGGACGGGUGAGUAACGCGUGAGAAUCUGCCUUCUGGUCGGGGGACAACCACUGGAAACGGUGGCUAAUACCGGAUAUGCCUAUGGGUGAAAGAUUAAUUGCUAGAAGAAGAGCUCGCGUCUGAUUAGCUAGUUGGAGAGGUAAAGGCUCACCAAGGCAUCGAUCAGUAGCUGGUCUGAGAGGACGAUCAGCCACACUGGGACUGAGACCACGGCCCAGACUCCUACGGGAGCAGCAGUGGGGAAUAUUGGACAAUGGGGCGAAAGCCUGAUCCAGCAAUGCCCGCGUGAGUGAUGAAGG